Molecule: ribosomal RNA, 465 nt
Filed under: Vreelandella stevensii
Lineage: Bacteria; Pseudomonadati; Pseudomonadota; Gammaproteobacteria; Oceanospirillales; Halomonadaceae
Description: partial 16S ribosomal RNA
Rfam family: Bacterial small subunit ribosomal RNA
Source: RNAcentral
CCUACGGGCGGCUGCAGUGGGGAAUAUUGGACAAUGGGGGGAACCCUGAUCCAGCCAUGCCGCGUGUGUGAAGAAGGCCCUCGGGUUGUAAAGCACUUUCAGUGAGGAAGAACGCCUGGUGGUUAAUACCCAUCAGGAAAGACAUCACUCACAGAAGAAGCACCGGCUAACUCCGUGCCAGCAGCCGCGGUAAUACGGAGGGUGCGAGCGUUAAUCGGAAUUACUGGGCGUAAAGCGCGCGUAGGUGGCUUGAUAAGCCGGUUGUGAAAGCCCCGGGCUCAACCUGGGAACGGCAUCUGGAACUGUCAAGCUAGAGUGCAGGAGAGGAAGGUAGAAUUCCCGGUGUAGCGGUGAAAUGCGUAGAGAUCGGGAGGAAUACCAGUGGCGAAGGCGGCCUUCUGGACUGACACUGACACUGAGGUGCGAAAGCGUGGGUAGCAAACAGGAUUAGAUACCCUUGUAGUC